RNAcentral lists this ribosomal RNA (429 nucleotides) under Bacillota bacterium. Its description in RNAcentral is "Firmicutes bacterium partial 16S ribosomal RNA". It matches the Rfam family "Bacterial small subunit ribosomal RNA", at positions 355 to 776 of the family's 1533-position model. Lineage: Bacteria; Bacillati; Bacillota. The record is from RNAcentral.
UGGGGAAUUUUGGACAAUGGGGGCAACCCUGAUCCAGCAAUGCCGCGUGUGUGAAGAAGGCCUUCGGGUUGUAAAGCACUUUUGUCCGGGAAGAAAUCGCACCUGAUAAUACCGGGUGUGGAUGACGGUACCGGAAGAAUAAGGACCGGCUAACUACGUGCCAGCAGCCGCGGUAAUACGUAGGGUCCAAGCGUUAAUCGGAAUUACUGGGCGUAAAGCGUGCGCAGGCGGUUGUGCAAGACCGAUGUGAAAUCCCCGGGCUUAACCUGGGAAUUGCAUUGGUGACUGCACGGCUAGAGUGUGGCAGAGGGGGGUAGAAUUCCACGUGUAGCAGUGAAAUGCGUAGAGAUGUGGAGGAAUACCGAUGGCGAAGGCAGCCCCCUGGGAUAACACUGACGCUCAUGCACGAAAGCGUGGGGAGCAAACAGG